AGAAUAUUGCACAAAUCUGUGCAGGAGUCUUGCCAUGGCUGCUCUUCCUGUUCACUACAAAAGGGUUUUGUCACCAGAGGGUUCAUUGUCAGUGGGGGCCUUAUGGUAGCUGGUCAGAGUGUGAUGCCUGCACCAAACUACAGCUAUAGAAGAUCCAUGGUUCGUGUACCAGCCUGGGCUGGGAUAGGCUCCAGCUCCCCAGCAACCUUAAUGAGGAUUAAGUGGUGUAUAGCUAAUGGACGGAUGGAUGUUGUGGUGUGUGACAGACUAGAA
Amphiprion ocellaris (clown anemonefish) is the source of this 273-nucleotide long non-coding RNA. RefSeq lists it as uncharacterized. NCBI's taxonomy places the organism in Eukaryota, Metazoa, Chordata, Actinopteri, Pomacentridae. The record is from RefSeq and is a predicted model, not a curated record. The transcript has 3 exons.